UACGUAGGGGGCGAGCGUUGUCCGGAAUCAUUGGGCGUAAAGCGCGUGUAGGCGGCUCGGUAAGUCUGCUGUGAAAGUCCAGGGCUCAACCCUGGAAUGCCGGUGGAAACUGUCGAGCUUGAGUCCGGAAGAGGCGAGUGGAAUUCCUGGUGUAGCGGUGAAAUGCGCAGAUAUCAGGAGGAACACCAAUGGCGAAGGCAGCUCGCUGGGACGGUACUGACGCUGAGACGCGAAAGCGUGGGGAGCAAACAGG
RNAcentral lists this ribosomal RNA (253 nucleotides) under uncultured bacterium. Its description in RNAcentral is "partial 16S ribosomal RNA". It matches the Rfam family "Bacterial small subunit ribosomal RNA", at positions 524 to 776 of the family's 1533-position model. The record is from RNAcentral.